Molecule: long non-coding RNA, 3176 nt
Organism: Mesocricetus auratus (golden hamster)
Lineage: Eukaryota; Metazoa; Chordata; Mammalia; Rodentia; Cricetidae
Exons: 2
Source: RefSeq, a predicted model, not a curated record
GAGGAGGGGAGACCCUUACCUGUCCUGUUUUGGCCAUGGUCUUGGGGUUCUGCAGCAGAAACCACUGUGGAAAGAGAAAGAGAAUUUGAAAGACCACCCCAGGACUCUGUAAGUCUCCAUUCUUUGCCCCUCAUUUUCCCUCCUGCUAUUCUCAUACCCAGAGACCUUGUAGAGCCAGGAACUUUGUUUUUCAAACGGCAGUGGCUGUAUUAGAUAACACACAGUCAGUCACAGCAGGGUGGGAGAGGGACCUGGAGAAGGGAGGCUGGGCAUGACCACUGACCAGCACUGACCAAGGCCCUGCUGUGUGCCUGUUAUCUCUCCUAAUCCUUUUAGCAAUCCUUACAGGCGGCAGGUGCCCUUUGUAAGACAAAGGAGACCAAGGCUGGGUACCACAUUUAGUCCAAAGCCAAAGCAGUACUCCAGAAUUCAGAGCCCUGGUGUGCUACCUGCACUCUGUGUGCCCUCUUUCCAAACCAUGGAGAAUGGCUUCCUAACCAGGCCUUCUGGCAUCCAAAUGGGAAGAAGCGGGAGGUCCCAGGUGUCUCCCUGAGGACAUCAUCUCAACUUGGGUAUGUUGCAUUCACUCAUCAUCUACCCCAGCCAGCAAUGCUCUGCACCCUGAGAACACAGCAGGACAUACUCAAGACUGGACAGUCCUAUUUUCAUGGGUCCCAGUGAUAAAUGCACCCACAUGGAUUUCAAUAAGCACCUGGAGGAAAGACAAUGUGCGGGACAAGAGGUAAUGGGAUGCAAUUAAUCCUGGGUGGCCAGUCAGAGGUCUCAUACAGAUGUUUGGGUAAGAGGCAGCAACACAGAGCUCGGUGUCAUCGGGGUGGCAGCAGGCAGAAGGAUGGUGACAGGAUGGUCUGACCCAGUGCCUGAUGUCACUGUGAAGACUUGGCUCAAAUCUGAUGGAACACAGCCAUCACCACUGUGGGAGACUUGAACAAAUGGGGCAAAAUAUCUUACCAGAACGGGUGAGGACUAUGGGCUGGGGGUGUCAGAGACAAGGGCUACACUGAUGGAACAAGGGACACAGGUGAAUUCUUAUAAAUAGAUGAGCAGGGGACAAGGAGCGGGUGCAGAGCAGAGCUUAGCCCUCAGGCACUCAGCAGAAGGGCAGGAGAUACAAGCUGAGCAAUCGGGAACCACGGAGGGAUGGCCUCUGUACUCUAGGAGCGGCUGGCUUAAGCUGACCGCCUCAAAAUUGUAAGAGUGAAAAUACCUUACUUGCAAGGAAUGAACUAGAAAUGAGGGUGGAUCCAUAGAGACCUGCAACUCAGCACUCUCCAGUCCUACAUAUCCCCUGACUUUGGAGAACUCUCCCCUCACAUCUAGUAGUCAUGUGACAGGACUUAUUGCUGAUUUCUGAGUUCAAGGUUAUGCUAAGCACAAACUGCCUGGGAGUGGUGCUGGGGGCUGGGGUCUGAACUGCUUCCAGCACAGAGCAGACAUCUCAGGAGCGGUGGUAUCUAUGGCAGUGGUGGGCUAGGGCCUGAACUGCUUCCAGCACAGAGCAGUCAUCUCGGGAGCGGUGGUAUCCAUGGCAGUGGUGGGGUGUUGGGUACAGGGACUUUUUUAGUUUGCCCCUAUGUUGCCUCUGCUGGUGUCCUGCAGUCAGCAAGGGGCAGUCAUCUGAUGAGGUUGGGGUGUGGAGGGUGCACACGGAGAUCUGUCUGCAUUUGAAGCUCAGCUACAGGAAACCCUGCUGUUGCCCUAGCAACCAGGGGCCCCUUGGCAUAAAACUGCAGCUCUCACCAGGAAAUGAAAACCUCACAUGAGAAGGGGUGACUUCUAAGAUUGGUUUCAGAACCAGCCCUGGGGUUACCCCAAGUCUGGAUACUCAAGGGGCAGCCAGUGAAGGAACGAACCCUCAAACUGCCAGAAACCCAGGGAGUGAAAGAGGCCCAGGAAGUGUGCUGACACUUGAAGGCUGAGGCACUUUCCUUGGCCUUGUUGCUGGAAACUUCAGCUGGCUGGUGACCAGGCCCAUCUGGAAGGCAGCCCCUUUCCACAGAGAGCCUGCUCCAAGGCGGGGCCACCAUGCCUUUGGGGGAAACUCCAAGGGCAGUUUCUGUGGGCCCCUUGGGAUGGAGGGGGGAGCUGCCUCCUCUGUAUGUAAAAAGUGAGUUCCUUUGAUAAUUUCAGAUUGAAGUUUGGAUGGUCAAUCUGGUCCAUUCCAACAGGAAAGCUAAAGGCUACAACAUAGAGGCUAGCUGCCUGAGCACUGCCCUGCCCACAUAAUAACCUACAGCACAGGACCUCCAGCUGAGCAGCCACUGGCCAAGGACCCUAGCUGAGGCCUGAACCACCUGACCGCCAAGCCUUUUUCAAGAUGGCUAGGACUCAGCCAGCAGCCUUGUCUACAGUCCCAGGUCCCAGCAAGCUUCCACACAGAUGGAGAGAGACCCAGGUGAGCGGUUUUCACAACAGAACGCUGGGAAGGCUCUCUCCAGACCCCAGGACUCCUCAGCCCUCCCUCAGUCUCUAAGUUUUACCAACUUAACCUGAAAAAGGUGCUCAAGACUGGUUAAAACUAGCUUCUCUCUCAGAGCCCCAAGUCUCUUUCAUCUGACCACCACACGAGUGAUUGGAUCAUUCCAGAAAAACCUCCCUCCGGGGCAGUGACCUUAAUGGCUUCUUCUUAAGUGGCCAUCACCACUGCCUUGCCUGGUAGCUUGUGACCAUUAUGGGGUUUCUUUGGGGGUUGAGGGGUAGAGUCCUAUUGCCCAACCUAGAGAAUGGGCCCAGGCCACCGCGUCUCCUGAACUCUGACUAACAUAAGUUGUUUAAACUGAAAUCUUAGCUUGCUCAUCUGCAAAGACAUAUUGGAAUUCCGAUGUGAACAGAUGAAAAAUGCUUAGCAAGACUGCUGACACACAGAAAAAAAACAAUAAAUAAUCAUGUUUAUCGGGAUAAGUUUAACAUGGCAAUAAAUGAAGGCUUUGAAGUCAAGAUCCCCAUGUUCAAAUCCUGACACUGCAAACACCUAGUUUGGGACUUUGAACCAGCUGCAUUACUUCUCUCCGCCUCAGUUUAGAAAUUUCCCACUUAGAAAUGGGAUAGUCGUAAGGUUUUCUUAGGAUAUUGCAAGACAUUGUGCAAAAGCCACCCUUUCUGUGGGAGACUAAAAUGCCCACCUGAAAGUAAUUAAAAAUCUCUUUUUAGAUUUA